CUGUGCCUGGGCCAUAUGGAAGUUCCCAGGCCAGGGAUUGAUUGAACAUGUACUAUAGCAGCGACCCAAGCUACUGCAGUGAAAAAUGCCAGAUCCCUAACCCACUGCACCACAAGAGAACUCCCUAGAACACCCUAUUUAAAUUCUUUUUAAAACCAGGAAUAAUGAAUUUUACCAAAUGGGUUUAAUUUUUGGUCAUUCAACUUAUUAACAUAGUGAAUUAUAUUAAAGGUUUUUCAACUAUCAAAUCAUCCUACAUUACUGAAAUAAAUUCCAUUUACUUUCUUUAUAUUAAUAAUUAAAUGCACUACAGGAUUAUAUUUAUGUGAUUUAUUUAGCAUUUUACAUUAACAUCCAUAAAUAACAUAUCUAUAUAUAUUUUCAUGGUGAAAUAUUUUGGCAGUUCAUACUUAGAAAAUUUUUUAUCUUUUUACAGCCACAUCCACAGCAUAUGAAAGUUCCUGGGCUAGGAGUGAAUCGGAGAUGCAGCUGCCAGCCUAUGCCACAGCCAUGGCAACAUAGAAUCCAAGCCACAUCUGUGACCUAUGCUGCAGCUUGCAGCAGUGCCAGAUCCUUAACCCAAAGGCCAGGGAUUGAGCUUGCGUCCUCAUGGCACUAUGUGGGGUCCUUAAACCACUGAGGCACAAUAGUAACUCCAGAAAAGUUUUUAAAAUAUUGGAAUUUUCUAUCCUUUAAAAGUUUAAUUGACUUCACCUGUGACUCCAGUCUGGGCUGAUGCUUUUUAGAAUGAAUAUUUGGAAACCCCGGCUUCUCCCUUCACUCAGAAGGGAUAACUCUGAGGCAUGAUCUGUGGUUUUUCAUAAUCCCUAACUACAUGGGAGGCAGCUGCUCACAGCAGGGACCUUCUCCAUAUUGCACCCUUAUGGGCAUCCUUCCCUUCCCUGUCUCUCUUCUCUACUUCCCAUCUAGUGAUUUCUUAGGUCAUCUUCCAAAUACACUGCACUGAAAUCUCUGUCUCAGUGUCUAAACCUGGAGCAAAGCAACCUAGACACUUUCCCAACAGCUCCAUAACAAAAUUCAUUUAAGCUUAUUACCAUUAAUUCUGAGUCUCAUUCAGAGUCAUAACAGAAAGAAAUCAGGCAUUGUGAGGUGAGAGUCAAUGAUGAAAAAAAGUUCUUUGUAGGAACAGUAUUUUCAAAUUCAAUGAUCAGGACAACUAGCUAACAAAUUGUGUCAUCAUUUCAUGAUUCAUUAUAACUGUUGAAUAACAAAGAUUUCCUAUGUUGGUAAAAAAUAUGCUAUUGUUAUGCUUUAAAAAAGAACAAUUGAAGAACACUAUGGCUGUUGUAAUUUUAAUUUGCCCUUUUAAAUUAACUUAUAGCAAAUCUGCAUUUGCCUAUAGUUAAUCUUCGGAGUCUAAUAUAAUGUUCUAAAGUUUGAAGGAUUUUUAUGAUUACUAAUAACGUAAGUACUAAUAACAACUUGGGAUUUACAACUCUCUGUAUAGGUUGGGCUUAUUCCAAAUGAUGGAAACUGAUACCAAAGAAAAUCUAAGAGAAUAUCAAUACUUUUUUAAAAAGUCACAAUCCUAUAAAAAAGACACACUGAAGAAAUAUAUUAUUUACUAAUCUGUUAUUAAUAUAACAGACCUAAUCUGCUUUUAGAAGUUGAGUUUCUCUGGUGAUUUACUGGGACCUUAGUUAUACUGAAGGACUACUGUUUGCAGUACUUAUCAUGAGACACACAGGCAUUAAUUACACAGUCCAUCUUACCCAGUAGUGGUAUUGGCUAAAGAGGAUUCAGUGCUGUACUUACAUUUUAAGACUACCUUAUUCUUUCUGAUCAAGACAAGCUCCCUGCUGUGAAUACCUAUACAUCGAACGGAGUGAUUUUAUCUAAUAGAGACCUGAUUAUCUCAGGAAGGCAUACUUUCUUACUCUAUUUCAAAUGGAUAAGAUUUUUUUUUUUAAAUCAAACAACAUUUUUGGUGCACUUUCCCUGGGAAGAAAUUUACUUUUUCCAUGAUCAUUUAACAACUCUUUUUGGCAUCAGAUUAGUCUUAGAUACACAUCCUCCACCCAGUUUCACAACUCUCAAGGCUGCUUGUGGAUUUGGAAGAUUGACCUAGCCCAAACAUUCAUAUAAAGAAUGCCCUUGAGAGCAUAUUUUGAUUAGUCUGGACUCAAUUAAUAUCUGCUCUCUUCAGAUUUAAAUUUCACUCUCAUAAGAUAGCCAGAGACAAUUUUCCAAGAAAAAUAAUGUAAACCUUUUUAUUUGUAUUCUUAAAAAAAAAGAAACUACAUAUAUAAGAGAAAACAUAGUUUGGAUAGAUUUUUGAAAACUGCUAUUUUUAUUAACAUGGAUUUGUUCCUUUUGAAAUUUGAAUCAUUAUUUGCAAAGUAUAAUUCUGAACUAUUAAAAAAUCCACUUUAGUAAAGUAUGGAUUUAACCUUUUGUUAACAGACUUAUUUAUCUUCCUUUAGGUCUUUAAGAAUACCAUCUAUCAUCAAAAAAAAUACAGUAAUAACAAGUGAUGGUGAGGAUGUGAAGAAAAGGAAACCCUGUAUACUGUUGGUGAGAAUGUAAAUUUGUGCAGCCACUGUAGAAAGCAGUAUGGAGGUUUCUCAAAAAAUUAAAAAUAGAACUACUCUGUGACCCAGCAAUUCCAUUCCUGGGUAUAUAUCUGAAAAAAAAAAAAAAGACACUAAUUUGAAAAGAUACAUGCAUCCCAAUGUUCAUAGCAGUAUUAUUUGUAAUUGCCAAGAUAUGGAAGCAUAUCAAUCCAUCAAUGGAUGAAUGGAUAAAGGUGUGUGUGUGUGUGUGUGUGUGUGUGUGUAUUCCACAAUGGAAUACUACUUAGCAAUAAAAAGAAUGAAAUUUUGCCAUUUUCAGUGAUAUAGAUAGACUUGAGGGUAUUGUUAAGUGAAACAAGUCAGAGAAAGACAAAUACUAUAUGAUAUCACUUAUGAGUGGGAUCUAAAAAAAUACAACCAACUAGUGACUAUAAGGAUAUGUUACACAGCACAAGGAAUAAUGCCAAUAUUUUGUAGUAACUAUAAAGAGAGUAUAACCUUUAAAACUAUGAGUCACUAUUUUGUACACCUAUAACAUUAAAUACUGUAAAUUAAUAACUAUAUCUCAAUAACACUAUACUUCAAUUAAAGACUUUUUUAAAUUGCCUAAAUUAAUGAAAGCCUGCUGAAAAAUUUUAAAGAAGUUUGGUAACUACAUUCUAUUUCAUGAUUUUAGAUAAAUUUUGUUCUGUUACAAAAAUCAAUGUAGCAUUUAACAUAUUUUUUUCCUUUAGAUAAUGUUCUAAUGAGAAGGCUUUAUGUGCAUUAUUUCAUUUUAUAACUUGACCAAGAUCAUCUGGCUAUUAAAUAGUGGAAUCAAGAGAGAAAUCCAGACAGUUUGAUUCCAAAAUUUAUGCUGUUUAUUAGAGUGUUUGUUUAUGAUACCCUUUCCAUAAAGGAUUUUUUUCCCAAGAUUAAUUUUAAAUCUGACCUGCAGGGAUACAUCAAAUGCAGUAAGAUUACAUAAAUUAGAAACAAACUCAGAAUGGAUAAGUAAUGAGAUCCUGUUGUAUAACACUGGGAACUAUACCUAGUCACUUAUGAUGGAGCAAAAAAAAAAAAAAAAGAUAAUAUUCUAAGAAAGGUAAGUUUCUAGAGAAAAAAUUUAAAAUGUGGUGGUAAAUACCAAGAGCUAUUUUAUAAGGUCAGAGAUUUGGUUGUUACUAUACAAAAUGGUGACGUAAGUAAAAUUUGUCAGGAACAUUCACAUACCAUUUACUUACUCUUUUGGAGGAAGGGGACUCUGUCAUCUCAGAAUCUUAGACCCAGUACCAACCCUCAACUUGGGAAGGAAAGAUGCCCUAAACAAAUUAGAACUGGGGAUGCCAAUUGCACAUUUCACAAACGAGGUAACUCAGACACCAAAAGGACAAUGCAUUUGCUCAAUUUCCAGAGGAACCAAGUUAGAAAAUGGUACAUGUAUACUGAUUAACAUUCAGUUAAUGGGUCAUGUUGCAAUUCUAAUAAUAAAACAACUAUUAUAUCUGAGAAGUCACAAAAAUUAUUCCUAUUGUGCUAAAUUUCAUUAACAUAAUAAUAUUAAUAGAAUGUCCUAUUUUUUCUGUAAAGCCCUAUUGAAGGGUGACAUCUUUAAAAUUUAAUUUUAUAUAGUCUCCUCAAGCAAGCUGUCUCCUCUCAAUCCAGUCCAGUUUAGGUGCUCUUCCCACAUGCUUCCAUAGUUCCCUUUCUCCAUCAUGGUACUUUCUCUACCUUGAUUGUCUUAUGUCUUACCCAUCUCCUCCAGUGAACUCUAAACUCUUCGAGUACAGACAUCAAAUUUAUGCAUCUCUAUGCACUAAAAUCAUGUUAUUGACUCGAAUAAAAUAGGUGCCCAGUCAGUGCUAAAUGGAUGAAUUAAUGAAUAUUCAUGGUUCCAAGACCCCAUUAUUAUUGCCUACCCCUAAGAUCUGCUCACAGCUUGUUCUCAAGGUAAUCAAGAUUUUAGUUAAUAUAGGUUACCAUGAUGUUCCUCUUAAAGAUAUUUAAGUUUUCACUGGGGACAUAUAAGAGUCUACAAAAAUUCUGGUAAUGGACUUUCAGUCAUUGUAAUAGACUAUUAGGGAGGGAAGGAUGUACUUUUUUAAACAGAGAGACUCUCCAUAUCACAUCACCACUUAAACAGCCCACAUCACCACCACCCAGCCUUGGUGUUAUGCAGAGACAACAAACAGAUAUGUAUGCUUUCAGAGAGAUCCCGUGGGUCUGAUGAAUGCUAAGGUACAUGAAACCAUAUUGCUGUGAUUGGACCUGACUAGAUUAAACUUCCUUUUGGCUUGCUUUGCAAUGCUUCUGGUAUGAGAUGAUAUGAAAGAGAGAAGUAGUACAUGGCUAGUUGCAACCUUAGUAAGCAUGUGUCUUAUGGUUGCUGAGGCCUCCACUUUUUGCUAUUUUGAUUCUCACCUGGUAAUGAUUCCAGAUGUAUGACAUCUGAAAAAGACAU
This 4974-nucleotide long non-coding RNA is filed under the name Sus scrofa (pig). Its description in RNAcentral is "lncRNA (ENSSSCG00055016334.1)". The record is from RNAcentral. Lineage: Eukaryota; Metazoa; Chordata; Mammalia; Artiodactyla; Suidae.